RNAcentral lists this non-coding RNA (505 nucleotides) under Brochothrix campestris FSL F6-1037. Its description in RNAcentral is "Bacterial large subunit ribosomal RNA". It matches the Rfam family "Bacterial large subunit ribosomal RNA", at positions 2349 to 2853 of the family's 2925-position model. Lineage: Bacteria; Bacillati; Bacillota; Bacilli; Caryophanales; Listeriaceae. The record is from Rfam by way of RNAcentral.
GUGUAAAGCACAAGGGAGCUUGACUGUGAGACCUACAAGUCGAACAGGGACGAAAGUCGGGCUUAGUGAUCCGGUGGUUCCGCAUGGAAGGGCCAUCGCUCAACGGAUAAAAGCUACCCCGGGGAUAACAGGCUUAUCUCCCCAAGAGUCCACAUCGACGGGGAGGUUUGGCACCUCGAUGUCGGCUCAUCGCAUCCUGGGGCUGUAGUCGGUCCCAAGGGUUGGGCUGUUCGCCCAUUAAAGCGGUACGCGAGCUGGGUUCAGAACGUCGUGAGACAGUUCGGUCCCUAUCCGUCGCGGGCGCAGGAAAUUUGAGAGGAGCUGUCCUUAGUACGAGAGGACCGGGAUGGACACACCGCUGGUGUACCAGUUGUUCCGCCAGGAGCAUCGCUGGGUAGCUAUGUGUGGAAGGGAUAAACGCUGAAAGCAUCUAAGCGUGAAGCCCCCCCUCGAGAUGAGAUUUCCCAUCACUUUAUGUGAGUAAGACCCUGAGAGACGAUCAGUU